AUGUCCCAGCACAGCGAGGUCACUCUGCCAGCUCCCGGACAUGGCCGGCGCUCCCACAGCCCUCCCAGCCCCGUCCUGCCACAGCUGUGCCCAGGGCCGUGCUGCAGAAAAUGGUUCUCCUCUGGGAGAGGCUCAGAUCAUCUUCAUGUUGAACUUCCUGGCCCCUCCUUGGCCGGUGGUGGUGGUGGGACCGUCCACCUUGCGGAAGGAAUAUUCCACAGAGAAGUUGUUCUUGUGCUGCCCCCGGCCACGGCUCCAGACAAAGAGCAGGAGGAAGCAGAAGAGCACCACGCCCAGGAAGGUGAUGCAGCCCAUGGCCGUGGAGACCAGGAUGGUCUUGAGGUCCAAGGUGAACUUCAAGAAGACCUGGGUGUUGUUGUGGAAGGUGUCGUUGAAGUCGCUGAGGUACAAAGUCCGAUUGGCGUGGUGGGCGCCAUCGGCUGGGCGCCCCUUGACCGUCAGCGUGGCGAAGUAGGUGUCAUUGCCACCGGCGUUGCUGGCGAUGCAGAUGUAGGUGCCACUGUCCUGCACCUGGGCAAAACGGAUCUCCAGGGUGCCCCCAGGCAGCACCGUGGCUCGCCCUGUGCUGCGGGUGGUGAUCAUGCGGUGCUGGGGGGACACCCAGGCGAUGGAGGGGUCGGGCUCCCCGUCGGCGCGGCACAGGAAGGACACGGACUGUCCCUCCCGUGCCGUCACGUGCUGCAGCUUCCGAUCCCGGAUCUUGGGCUUCUGGCAGGUGAAGUACUCGAAGAGCACCGAGUCCGGGAAGUCGCGCAGGGCGUUGCCCUGGAUUUCGGGCGGCGAGGAGCACAUGGGCUGCUGCCCGUCGAAGUUGAGCGUCUUCCGCCGCUGCAGGAUCCAGAGGAGCCGGCAGUCGCAGGCCAGGGGGUUCCUGUCCACCCGCAGCGUCUCCAGCGUGUUGACCGAGUGGAAGGUGCUCUCCUCCAGCGUGGACAGGAAGUUGCUGGAGAGGUUGAGCAGCCGGAUCUGUCUCAGGCCGGAGAAAGCCUGCGGCUCCACGGACACCAGGAGAGCGCCCACGAUGUGGAGCUCCUGGAGCCGGAUGAGGUCUUUGAAGGAGCCCUUCAGCACAGUGCUAAUGGGGUUGUAGGACAGGUUGAGGUACCGCAGGUACACCAAGUUCCUCAAGGCAGCGGCGGGCACGGCUGUGAUGUUGGUGUAGGUGAUGGAGAGCGAGGUGAGGUUCAGGCCCUGGAAGCUGGUGGGGGACACCUCCUCCAGCAGUGGCCAGUUGUCGAUCUCCAGCUGCAGGAGAUUGUAGAGCUUCUUGAAGUUCUGGUCCUCCAGCGCAGAGAUGCUGAGGUGCCGGAGCCGCAGCACCUCCAGGUUCUGGAGGUAGGACAGCGACUCGGCCGAGAUGGAGGUCAGGUUGCACUUCUCAAUGGUCAGCUGCUCCAGGCCCAGCAGCCCCGAGAAGGCGCGCUGGGAGAUGUACACCAGGUCAUUGUCACCCACCUCCAGGCUCUUCAGGUUGCGCAGGUCCUGGAACAUGUAGUCGAGCAGGAUGACCAGCUUGUUCUCGCUGAUGUCCAACAGGGUCAGGUUGGUCAGCUUGGUGAAGACCCCCGGGGGGAUGAGCUUGAGCUGGUUCCCGCGCAGCCGCAGGGUCUGCAGGUUGAACAGGUUGCUGAAGGCGCCGGGCUCCACAUUGGAGAUGAUGUUCUCGCUGAAAUCCAGCUCCUCCAGCAGCGGGUAGGGGGCCAGGUCCCCGGGGUUCAGGCAGCGGAUGCGGUUCUUGUUGAGCUCCAGGACACGGGUCUCGCUGGGGAUGCCCUCGGGGAUGGCGGUGAGGCGCCUGCGGUG
Molecule: long non-coding RNA, 1824 nt
Organism: Serinus canaria (Common canary)
Lineage: Eukaryota; Metazoa; Chordata; Aves; Passeriformes; Fringillidae
Source: Ensembl